AAGUCGUAACAAGGUUUCCGUAGGUGAACCUGCGGAAGGAUCAUUAACACGUAUCCAACGUUAAAAACCCCGUGAACCUUUAAAACGCUGUGUCCCAGGACUAAAUCCAGUGGCCUUAGCAAUCCCUGUACUCGUGGGAGAAAUGUAAUGAGAAGGGACUUCUGAGGUUGGCUUUCUGGUUUCAGACCGCGUCGUAGUGACUUUUUUUCCCCAAGCAAUCCGUGAGUGAAAGUGUCAUUGGUUGCGUAAGGAUUUCGCCUAGCGAUCACUGGAGGUCGAUCACCGACCGGUGGACUAAGUCACAGGGCUUCGGCUCCCUAAUAACCCCCAUUCAAUUUGCCGCUCCGCGCUAACAACGCCGGGCACUUAAAAACGUACUAAACAACUGUUAACAAUGGAUAUCUUGGUUCUG
This 412-nucleotide unclassified non-coding RNA is filed under the name fungal sp. Its description in RNAcentral is "partial internal transcribed spacer region". The stretch from base 1 to 46 matches the Rfam family "Eukaryotic small subunit ribosomal RNA", at positions 1786 to 1831 of the family's 1831-position model. Lineage: Eukaryota; Fungi. The record is from RNAcentral.